This 854-nucleotide ribosomal RNA is filed under the name Pseudomonas sp. B103T-1. Its description in RNAcentral is "bacterial SSU rRNA". It matches the Rfam family "Bacterial small subunit ribosomal RNA", at positions 56 to 905 of the family's 1533-position model. The record is from RNAcentral. Lineage: Bacteria; Pseudomonadati; Pseudomonadota; Gammaproteobacteria; Pseudomonadales; Pseudomonadaceae.
UGCAAGUCGAGCGGUAGAGAGAAGCUUGCUUCUCUUGAGAGCGGCGGACGGGUGAGUAAUGCCUAGGAAUCUGCCUGGUAGUGGGGGAUAACGUUCGGAAACGAACGCUAAUACCGCAUACGUCCUACGGGAGAAAGCAGGGGACCUUCGGGCCUUGCGCUAUCAGAUGAGCCUAGGUCGGAUUAGCUAGUUGGUGAGGUAAUGGCUCACCAAGGCGACGAUCCGUAACUGGUCUGAGAGGAUGAUCAGUCACACUGGAACUGAGACACGGUCCAGACUCCUACGGGAGGCAGCAGUGGGGAAUAUUGGACAAUGGGCGAAAGCCUGAUCCAGCCAUGCCGCGUGUGUGAAGAAGGUCUUCGGAUUGUAAAGCACUUUAAGUUGGGAGGAAGGGCAGUUACCUAAUACGUGAUUGUUUUGACGUUACCGACAGAAUAAGCACCGGCUAACUCUGUGCCAGCAGCCGCGGUAAUACAGAGGGUGCAAGCGUUAAUCGGAAUUACUGGGCGUAAAGCGCGCGUAGGUGGUUUGUUAAGUUGGAUGUGAAAUCCCCGGGCUCAACCUGGGAACUGCAUUCAAAACUGACUGACUAGAGUAUGGUAGAGGGUGGUGGAAUUUCCUGUGUAGCGGUGAAAUGCGUAGAUAUAGGAAGGAACACCAGUGGCGAAGGCGACCACCUGGACUAAUACUGACACUGAGGUGCGAAAGCGUGGGGAGCAAACAGGAUUAGAUACCCUGGUAGUCCACGCCGUAAACGAUGUCAACUAGCCGUUGGAAGCCUUGAGCUUUUAGUGGCGCAGCUAACGCAUUAAGUUGACCGCCUGGGGAGUACGGCCGCAAGGUUAAAACUCAAU